CCUACGGGGGGCUGCAGUGAGGAAUAUUGGUCAAUGGACGCAAGUCUGAACCAGCCAAGUAGCGUGCAGGAUGACGGCCCUCCGGGGUGUAAACUGCUUUUAGUUGGGAAUAAAAUGGGGCUCGUUAGCCCCGUCUUGUUUGUACCAUCAGCAAAAGGACCGGCUAAUUCCGUACCAGCAGCCGCGGUAAUACGGAGGAUGCGAGCGUUAUCCGGAUUUAUUGGGUUUGAGGGGUUCGUCGGCGGAUCGUUAAGUCAGUGGUCAAAUUGAGGGGCUCAACCCCUUCCCGCCAUUGAAACUGGCGCGCUGGAGUGGAAGAGAAGUAGGCGGAAUGCGUGGUGUAGCGGUGAAAUGCAUAGAUAUCACGCAGAACCCCGAUUGCGAAGGCAGCAUGCCGG
Molecule: ribosomal RNA, 398 nt
Filed under: uncultured bacterium
Lineage: Bacteria
Description: partial 16S ribosomal RNA
Rfam family: Bacterial small subunit ribosomal RNA
Source: RNAcentral